GUGCAGCAGCCGCGGUAAUACCGGCAGCCCGAGUGAUGGCCGAUCUUAUUGGGCCUAAAGCGUCCGUAGCUGGCUGCGCAAGUCCGUCGGGAGAUCCACCCGCCCAACGGGUGGGCGUCCGGUAGAAACUGGCCGGCUUGGAACCGGAAGGCUCAGAGAGUACGUCCGGGGUAGGAGUGAAAUCCCGUAAUCCCGGACGGACUACCGAUGGCGAAAGCACUCUGAGAAGACGGCUUCGACAGUGAGGGACGAAAGCUCGGGUCUCAAACCGGAUUAGAAACCCCAGUAGUCC
This 292-nucleotide ribosomal RNA is filed under the name uncultured bacterium. RNAcentral describes it as "partial 16S ribosomal RNA". It matches the Rfam family "Archaeal small subunit ribosomal RNA", at positions 455 to 747 of the family's 1478-position model. The record is from RNAcentral.